This 443-nucleotide ribosomal RNA is filed under the name uncultured bacterium. RNAcentral's name for it is "partial 16S ribosomal RNA". It matches the Rfam family "Bacterial small subunit ribosomal RNA", at positions 338 to 795 of the family's 1533-position model. The record is from RNAcentral.
CCUACGGGAGGCAGCAGUGGGGAAUAUUGGGCAAUGGGGGAAACCCUGACCCAGCAACGCCGCGUGAAGGAAGAAGGCUUUCGGGUUGUAAACUUCUUUUACCAGGGACAAAGAAUGUGACGGUACCUGGAGAAAAAGCUCCGGCUAACUACGUGCCAGCAGCCGCGGUAUUACGGAGGGAGCGAGCGUUGUCCGGAUUUGCUGGGUGUAAAGGGCGUGUAGGCGGAGCUGCAAGUCAGAAGUGAAAUCUUCGGGCUCAACCCGGAAACUGCUUUUGAAACUGUAGCCCUUGAGUAUCGGAGAGGCAGGCGGAAUUCCUGGUGUAGCGGUGAAAUGCGUAGAUAUUAGGAGGAACACCGGCGGCGAAGGCGGUCUGCUGGACCGCGACUGACGUUGAGGCUCGAAAGCGUGGGGAGCGAACAGGAUUAGAUACCCUUGUAGUC